AUUACCAUUUUAUUUUCUCUCCGUCCUCACUCAGUACAAAAACCUUAUAUAACACAUCCAGGCAUUAAGUAACAAGCCCAUGAGCCAAUAAGUGGAGCGAGGACCCUUCCUUACAACACUCUAUAUACUAUUAUCAACCCUUGCCCACUCUCGUCUCAGCCUCCUCCUUACAUGACAGGCCAUAUAGGUUGUAAAGAAGCCAGAAACGGUAGUAGCGACAGCCAUCUCAAACACCCUAUUAUUCUCUGUUUGUGCCUUCCGACCACCUCCUUACAUUACAAAGCCAUAUGAAUUGUCAAGAAGCCAGAUACGGUAGCAGCGACAGCCUUCACAAACGUCCUAUAUCUGUUCUUGCAUUCUGACCCUCUUCUUACGUCACAAAGCUAUGGGUCAUUCAGAUACGACAAAGAGUAAGAACAGAGGCUGCCUUCACGGAUUUCUAUAUUUUCUGUUUAUGUUUCGAUUUAGUGUUUCUUGUAGUAUUGUGUUGUAUUAGUAAUGUAUUGUAGUAUUUUCUCUUCCUGUGUUCCUGGUUUGAUAAGAAUGAAAUUGUGAAGAGAGUGUACAAGGGAGGGAUUGAGGGAGGGGAGGUGAAGUGGACCAGUAGGGUGAGCGAGUAUUGGAGCGAGAGUUGGUAGCAGCAGGAUUGAGUGUGGUGAGAGGGAGUGCCAGAACAGGGAGAGAUGGAGACACUUCUGCCGCGGCCACCCCCUGGAGGGAAGUUCACGUGAGGGAGGGAGAUGUCAGAGAUUUAGACAGAUAGAUAGUGUUCCGAGUUAGUGUUUCUUGUAGUCUUGUGUUGUAUUGCUAGGGAUGGAGGGUGUGGGCAUUCAUACCUAUACAAAAUUGGAGUAUUUGCAUAUUUUUGUCGCUUCUAGAAAUAAUAACUUGAGUUUCAGCAUUUUCCUUCCCUCAGAGGAUUAAGAUUACAAUAACUUUACAAUAAUCUGAAUUCCAUGGGUCAGAAAACCCUAAUAGUUGUAAGAAAAUAAUUUGAGAUUCAGUUUAUUCCUUCCCUCUGAGGAUUAAAAUUAUAAUAACUUUACAAUAAUCUGAAUUCCAUGGGUCAGAAAAUCCUAAUAGUUGUAAGAAAAUAAUUUGAGAUUCAGUUUAUUCCUUCCCUCUGAGGAUUAAAAUUACAAUAACUUUACAAUAAUCUGAAUUCCAUGGGUCAGGAAAUUCCAAAUAUAGUAAAGAAAUAAUUUGAGAUUCAGUUUAUUCCUUCCCUCAGAGGAUUAAAAUUACAAUAACUUUACAAUAAUCUGAAUUCCAUGGGUCAGGAAAUUCCAAAUAUAGUAAAGAAAUAAUUUGAGAUUCAGUUUAUUCCUUCCCUCAGAGGAUUGAAAUUACAUCAAAGUUACAUUAAUCUGAAUUCCAUGGGUCAGGAAAUUCCAAAUAUAGUUAGGAAAUAAUUUGAGAUUUAGUUUAUUCCUUCCCUCAGAGGAUUAAAAUUACAAUAACUUUACAUUAAUCUGAAUUCCAUGGGUCAGGAAAUUCCAAAUAUAGUUAGGAAAUAAUUUGAGAUUAAGUUUAUUCCUUCCCUCAGAGGAUUAAAAUUACAAUAACUUUACAUUAAUCUGAAUUCCAUGGGUGAGAGAAUCCUAAUAGUUGUAAGAUAAUAAUUUGAGAUUCAGUUUAUUCCUUCCCUCAGAGGAUUAAAAUUACAGCAAAGUUAUGUUAAUCAGAGUUUCGUGGGUCAGAAAAUUCCAAAUAUAGUGAAGAAAUAAUCUGAGAUUCAUGUUAUUCCUUCCCUUAUAAGAUCCAAAAUACAGUACAAAUCCAUUAAUCUGAAUCCCAUGGGUAAAAAAAUCCUAGUUGUACAAUUUUCUUAUAAUGGGAGAGUAUAAUAAAAAGGCAGCAUCCCAGACUUCUGUUGAGAGGAAAAUAUAUAAUCUGAAAACACUUGUCUGGCUUGCUGGGAAUUAUAUAUAAACACGUAUUAGAAAAUUAGAUUAAAGAACAUUUGCUGGAUAUUUUCAACGGCACAAUGGAUGGAGUGGUUACAAUAGGCUUUAACCCCUUGACUGUGGAUUCCCUACCAGAAGACCUCACCAAGCUACAGGAAUGGAACAAAAAGUGGCUGCUACAAUUCAGGGAAGAAAAAUGUGAAGUCCUGCACCUUGGGAGGGGAAAUCCAGCAUACCAAUGCCACAUGGGAAACACCCCACUAUCCACCACAGAGGCAGAGAAAGACCUGGGACUAUAUGUUACCAGGCUAUCAGUGAAAGCCAAAUCCGUGCUGAUUGCAGCGGACGGGUUAAGAAGUGGAAUGUUUUCAGGGGGUUACAUAUAUUUACAUGUAUUAAAAAAUUAGAUUAACCCUUAGACGACGGUGGAACUGUAUAUAGACGGUCCAAAAUUCAGUCAGUCAGUUUUGUAUA
This is a long non-coding RNA of Eriocheir sinensis (Chinese mitten crab), 2381 nucleotides long. RefSeq lists it as uncharacterized. The transcript has 2 exons. Lineage: Eukaryota; Metazoa; Arthropoda; Malacostraca; Decapoda; Varunidae. The record is from RefSeq and is a predicted model, not a curated record.